CAGGACGAACGCUGGCGGCAUGCCUAACACAUGCAAGUCGAACGGAGUAUCAGGGGCUUGCUCUUGAUACUAGUGGCGAACGGGUGAGUAACGCGUGAGCAACCUGCCUUCAAAACCGGGAUAACACAGAGAAAUUUGUGCUAAUACCGGAUAAGACCACAGUGUCGCAUGACACAGUGGUAAAAACUCAGGUGAUUGAAGAGGGGCUCGCGACCCAUUAGCUUGUUGGCGGGAUAACAGCCCACCAAGGCGACGAUGGGUAGCCGACUUGAGAGAGUGAUCGGCCACACUGGAACUGAGACACGGUCCAGACUCCUACGGGAGGCAGCAGUGGGGAAUAUUGGGCAAUGGAGGAAACUCUUUAACCCCCAGCAAUGCCGCGUGAGUGAAGAAGGUCGUAAGAUUGUAAAGCUCUUUAAUUGGGGACGAAGACAGUGACGGUACCCAAAGAAUAAGCCCCGGCUAACUACGUGCCAGCCGCAGC
Molecule: ribosomal RNA, 484 nt
Filed under: uncultured bacterium
Lineage: Bacteria
Description: bacterial SSU rRNA
Rfam family: Bacterial small subunit ribosomal RNA
Source: RNAcentral